GCCGGAGUGGCUCAGGGGUAGAGCAAUUCACUCGUAAUGAAUAGGUCGUGGGUUCGAUUCCCACCUCCGGCUCCA
Molecule: transfer RNA, 75 nt
Filed under: Eubacteriales bacterium
Lineage: Bacteria; Bacillati; Bacillota; Clostridia; Eubacteriales
Description: tRNA-Thr
Rfam family: tRNA
About the family: Transfer RNA (tRNA) molecules are approximately 80 nucleotides in length. Their secondary structure includes four short double-helical elements and three loops (D, anti-codon, and T loops).
Source: RNAcentral